Molecule: long non-coding RNA, 374 nt
Filed under: Bos taurus (domestic cattle)
Lineage: Eukaryota; Metazoa; Chordata; Mammalia; Artiodactyla; Bovidae
Description: long non-coding RNA NONBTAT020573
Source: RNAcentral
GAAUUCAGUAGCUAGUAAGAGCUAGAGAAGUUUGUUUGUUGGUUUGUUUUGAUUUAAGAGUUCCAGUGUUAUCUAAUUAUUACAAGUUCAAACAAUGAGCUGUUUAUUAGGAAUGCAGCAAAAAUAGCUUGUAGGUAUAUAACAGAGAAAUAAUUUGAUGUGAAUUAUAGUUUGUUUCUAUGAGAAGUGAUGUAUUCAAACUUCAGACUAAUUCUUAAUAUUAGCAUCAAUAUAUUGAAACUAUACACGUGAACAAGUAAAAUUAAGAUGUAUUGUUAUAGAGUUUUCAACACUGUAUCAUUGGUAUUUUAUAAUCUGUAAAGUAUAUGAUAACUCUUAUAUUAUAACUAUAUUAAUUCAAAUCCUUGUUCAUU